RNAcentral lists this ribosomal RNA (886 nucleotides) under uncultured archaeon. RNAcentral's name for it is "bacterial SSU rRNA". It matches the Rfam family "Archaeal small subunit ribosomal RNA", at positions 25 to 921 of the family's 1478-position model. The record is from RNAcentral.
GACUGCUAUCGGAUUGGUACUAAGCCAUGCGAGUCAUUGUAGCAAUACAAGGCGGACGGCUCAGUACACGUAGUCACNUAACCUAUGGACGUGGAUAACUCGGGAAACUGAGAAUAAACCGCGAUAGAUCAUUAUGCCUGGAAUGGCUUAUGGUUCAAACGAUUUAUUGCCGUAGGAUGGGACUGCGGCCUAUCAGCUUGUUGGUGAGGUAAUGGCCCACCAAGGCUAUAACAGGUACGGGCUCUGAGAGGAGAAGCCCGGAGAUGGGUACUGAGACACGGACCCAGGCCCUAUGGGGCGCAGCAGGCGAGAAACCUUAGCAAUGUGCGAAAGCACGACUAGGUUAAUCCGAGUGAUUCCUGUUGAAGGAAUCUUUUGUCAGUCGUAAAACCACAGACGAAUAAGGGGUGGGCAAGUCUGGUGUCAGCCGCCGCGGUAAUACCAGCACCUCGAGUGGUCAGGAGGUUUAUUGGGCCUAAAGCAUCCGUAGCCGGCUUUGCAAGUCUCCGGUUAAAUCCAGCUGCUCAACAGAUGGGCUGCCGGAGAUACUACACAGCUAGGGAGCGGGAGAGGCAGACGGUAUUCUGUGGGUAGGGGUAAAAUCCAUUGAUCCAUAGAGGACCACCAGUGGCGAAGGCGGUCUGCCAGAACGCGUUCGACGGUGAGGGAUGAAAGCUGGGGGAGCAAACCGGAUUAGAUACCCGGGUAGUCCCAGCUGUAAACGAUGCAAACUCGGUGAUGCAUUGGCUUAUGGCCAAUGCAGUGCCGCAGGGAAGCCGUUAAGUUUGCCGCCUGGGAAGUACGGACGCAAGUCUGAAACUUAAAGGAAUUGGCGGGGGAGCACCACAAGGGGUGAAGCCUGCGGUUCAAUUGGAUUCAACGCCGG